Molecule: ribosomal RNA, 1219 nt
Filed under: Kocuria sp. BRI 34
Lineage: Bacteria; Bacillati; Actinomycetota; Actinomycetes; Micrococcales; Micrococcaceae
Description: bacterial SSU rRNA
Rfam family: Bacterial small subunit ribosomal RNA
Source: RNAcentral
CUGAAGCUUGGUGCUUGCACUGGGUGGAUGAGUGGCGAACGGGUGAGUAAUACGUGAGUAACCUGCCCUUGACUCUGGGAUAAGCCUGGGAAACUGGGUCUAAUACUGGAUAUGACCUCCUGUCGCAUGGUGGGGGGUGGAAAGGGUUUGUACUGGUUGUGGAUGGGCUCACGGCCUAUCAGCUUGUUGGUGGGGUAAUGGCCUACCAAGGCGACGACGGGUAGCCGGCCUGAGAGGGUGACCGGCCACACUGGGACUGAGACACGGCCCAGACUCCUACGGGAGGCAGCAGUGGGGAAUAUUGCACAAUGGGCGCAAGCCUGAUGCAGCGACGCCGCGUGAGGGAUGACGGCCUUCGGGUUGUAAACCUCUUUCAGCACGGAAGAAGCGAAAGUGACGGUACGUGCAGAAGAAGCGCCGGCUAACUACGUGCCAGCAGCCGCGGUAAUACGUAGGGCGCAAGCGUUGUCCGGAAUUAUUGGGCGUAAAGAGCUCGUAGGCGGUUUGUCGCGUCUGCUGUGAAAGCCCGGGGCUUAACCCCGGGUGUGCAGUGGGUACGGGCAGACUUGAGUGCAGUAGGGGAGACUGGAACUCCUGGUGUAGCGGUGAAAUGCGCAGAUAUCAGGAAGAACACCGAUGGCGAAGGCAGGUCUCUGGGCUGUUACUGACGCUGAGGAGCGAAAGCAUGGGGAGCGAACAGGAUUAGAUACCCUGGUAGUCCAUGCCGUAAACGUUGGGCACUAGGUGUGGGGGACAUUCCACGUUUUCCGCGCCGUAGCUAACGCAUUAAGUGCCCCGCCUGGGGAGUACGGCCGCAAGGCUAAAACUCAAAGGAAUUGACGGGGGCCCGCACAAGCGGCGGAGCAUGCGGAUUAAUUCGAUGCAACGCGAAGAACCUUACCAAGGCUUGACAUACACCGGAUCGGCUCAGAGAUGGGUUUUCCUCCUUGUGGGGCUGGUGUACAGGUGGUGCAUGGUUGUCGUCAGCUCGUGUCGUGAGAUGUUGGGUUAAGUCCCGCAACGAGCGCAACCCUCGUUCUAUGUUGCCAGCACGUGAUGGUGGGGACUCAUAGGAGACUGCCGGGGUCAACUCGGAGGAAGGUGGGGAUGACGUCAAAUCAUCAUGCCCCUUAUGUCUUGGGCUUCACGCAUGCUACAAUGGCCAGUACAAUGGGUUGCGAUACCGUGAGGUGGAGCUAAUCCCAAAAAGCUGGUCUCA